UGGAGAGAGAUUGGAUCGACGGAACUAGAGAGCAGUAGAGAAAGUAUAACAGUAAAUAGAUUCCGGUUAGAAUACUAUCGAUAGUAUCCAACAUUUUGUGUUUUCAAAGUUUUCACCGUUUAAUUUAAUUAUUUGGCUAUUUUUAUUCAUUAGAUUAUGCUAUUAAAUUAAUAAUUUACUCAACCUUAGAAGGCCUAUAUCAUCCUAAUCAUAUAUUUUUUCAUCGAAGAGUCGAAAACUCAAUAGCACAAAUAAUUUGGUGCUAUUAAUAGUAUUCCAGCCUAAUUUCGAUAAAUAUAUAAAAUAUGAUAUUUAAAAUUAAAAAAAUAUUUUAAUUAUUUUUCUAAAACCCAAAUAUUCUUAUUGAUUUUUAAGAAAAUUUCUCGUAGGAUUUACUAAAGGGAUUGAAUUUCAAAAGAAUAUUUAAUAAUUUUAGAAUAAAUUUUAAAAUUUUGAAUAGUAGUUAGGGAUGAAUAAGAAAAAGUCCCUUUUUUUCUAUAUAAUGAUUUGCCAUAUUAUAAUUUAAAAAUUAUAGUUAAAUAUUUGAUGGUUUAGAGUAUUUUUAUUUUUAUUAUUUUGUAGUUUAAAAUUUAUACAUAGUUAUUUUAUAAUUUUAUUUUAUUAUGAAUAUUUAUGAUUAAACAUGAUAUUCUUAGU
Molecule: long non-coding RNA, 657 nt
Filed under: Ananas comosus (pineapple)
Lineage: Eukaryota; Viridiplantae; Streptophyta; Magnoliopsida; Poales; Bromeliaceae
Description: long non-coding RNA (ACOM_LNC034489)
Source: RNAcentral